CAGGGAGAGAAGAGAACCAGCAAACUACAGCAGUGAGCAGAUUAAAGGUCUUUCUUGGAAAAGAGAUGUUAUUGUCACGAUCGUUGGAAGCAUACUCGGACCAACGUGCAGUGUGAUCUGGGUUCCACAUCUUUUUUAUUUAAAAUUCAACUUCAUCAAUUGCCAUCUCAGUAAAGGUUUGUUUGUAUACAGUAGUUGUCACAUCCAUCUGAGGGGAUGUCAGAGGGAGCCUUUCCGCCAUAAUCCACCGGAAUGCAGAGACUGUCCCUUGGGAGCCACACAGAGCAUGUUUCCAGGAGAUGUCCAAGUAGGCUGUAGCAGGCAUGGAAUGCCAACUCAUGUUGCCCAUCCCCCAUGACCAGCCGAGCGACGAAACAAGACCCCAGGACCAACCGUGUGACAUCCUGAAGCAAGGCCCCAAAGACCAGCAGUGCGACAUCCUGAAGCAAGGUCACUGGAGCAACCCAUUGGAAAGAUCAUUCCAUCAUCCAGUCUGUCCUAAAGUUGUCAGGGGCCUCAUUUCUUAUUGUUGUAUACGCAUAAAAUAUGCCCCAAAAUGUGCGUGCGCCAUUUCAUGCGAAAGUUAGCUUUUAUAAAAACUGAACUUGACCUGAGAAUGUGCUUCUCCUCCCGCAAACUUUAGACCAUGUGUUUGCAGUUUCUAGUGGUUGAAGUAUUGCUUGGUAAGAAGGCAAAAGUAGCCUAGUAGUAGCCUUGUCCUUGUGCAAAUUGGGAAUCUAUGAUGAUGAAAAUUUAAUAAACGGGUAGCUAAAUAUAAUAAGAUGCAAUCAUUGGCCAUUUAUUUUAUCUGGGCUUAGCUAAAGACACGACAACAGUCAGCUCAGCUAUUCCCAUUGAGACUGUCUGUGCCUCAAUCUAGGUUGGGCAAAACUAAACAUGGCGUUGUUCGCAAUCUCCUCCAUUCCCGUCAUUAUUGAAAUAGAUUGUGAUAUCUCAUAUCUCAAAAU
Long non-coding RNA from Oncorhynchus gorbuscha (pink salmon), 968 nucleotides. RefSeq lists it as uncharacterized. Lineage: Eukaryota; Metazoa; Chordata; Actinopteri; Salmoniformes; Salmonidae. The transcript has 4 exons. The record is from RefSeq and is a predicted model, not a curated record.